AGAGCUCGCACUCCCACUCCCCCUCCCCCUCCCACUGCUCCCAAUCCUGUUGGCAAAGCGAAGAAAGGUCGUGCAUCCAGCAGAGCUCCGACUCCUAUUGGCAAAGCGAAGAAGAAAGGUCGUGCAUCAAGCAGAGGUUGCGGGGAUGACUGGCAUCAAGCUGGCUGGCAACCAAACAAUUUCCCCUUCACUGCAACCCCUGGACCCCGGAGGGCUGCUGCGGAGCUGGAUAGCGACCUGCCAGCUGAC
Long non-coding RNA from Gadus morhua (Atlantic cod), 249 nucleotides. RefSeq lists it as uncharacterized. Lineage: Eukaryota; Metazoa; Chordata; Actinopteri; Gadiformes; Gadidae. The transcript has 3 exons. The record is from RefSeq and is a predicted model, not a curated record.